RNAcentral lists this ribosomal RNA (484 nucleotides) under uncultured bacterium. RNAcentral describes it as "partial 16S ribosomal RNA". It matches the Rfam family "Bacterial small subunit ribosomal RNA", at positions 30 to 507 of the family's 1533-position model. The record is from RNAcentral.
AUUGAACGCUGGCGGCAGGCCUAACACAUGCAAGUCGAGCGGAUGAAGGGAGCUUGCUCCUGGAUUCAGCGGCGGACAGGUGAGUAAUGCCUAGGAAUCUGCCUGGUAGUGGGGGAUAACGUCCGGAAACGGGCGCUAAUACCGCAUACGUCCUGAGGGAGAAAGUGGGGGAUCUUCGGACCUCACGCUAUCAGAUGAGCCUAGGUCGGAUUAGCUAGUUGGUGGGGUAAAGGCCUACCAAGGCGACGAUCCGUAACUGGUCUGAGAGGAUGAUCAGUCACACUGGAACUGAGACACGGUCCAGACUCCUACGGGAGGCAGCAGUGGGGAAUAUUGGACAAUGGGCGAAAGCCUGAUCCAGCCAUGCCGCGUGUGUGAAGAAGGUCUUCGGAUUGUAAAGCACUUUAAGUUGGGAGGAAGGGCAGUAAGUUAAUACCUUGCUGUUUUGACGUUACCAACAGAAUAAGCACCGGCUAACCUCGUG